ACCAGUCCCCUCUUCCCUCUCGCGCACUCCGUCGUCGCCUUUGAACCCCUGCACGCCCAUUCUCUCUCCUCCUUUCUUCGCCCAUUAUUCGCUGCUGCUGCUGCUCGUAUUUUCCGCCGCCGCCGAAGCUUCGAGGAAGCCGCCGACCUUUCGUGUUGCGCCACACCACCGCGAGUUGCUGUUCGGUUUCGCCGGAGCUCCGAGCUCCCAUGUCGGUCGCUCGUCCCUGCUCCAAGAGAGCAGAGAACUCGUUCCUCGGAGCUCAGUAAGGACGAUAUCAAGGACAUAAGAAGAGGAUUAUUUUAUUAUUCUGCAAUCAAGGUACUGCUGGGGACGAUGGUACUGCGUAGUGGCAAGGAUUACCACCUUAUUAAAUCAUCUAGUAAUAGUGCUACUAACUUGUAAGGUUAACUUAACUAGAAUGUAAGACCAUAUGCUUUAAUAUAAGUUAUCGUUGUUAUGUCA
Beta vulgaris subsp. vulgaris (sugar beet) is the source of this 465-nucleotide long non-coding RNA. RefSeq lists it as uncharacterized. Lineage: Eukaryota; Viridiplantae; Streptophyta; Magnoliopsida; Caryophyllales; Amaranthaceae. The transcript is spliced from 3 exons. The record is from RefSeq and is a predicted model, not a curated record.